RNAcentral lists this long non-coding RNA (6200 nucleotides) under Sus scrofa (pig). RNAcentral describes it as "lncRNA (ENSSSCG00015064840.1)". Lineage: Eukaryota; Metazoa; Chordata; Mammalia; Artiodactyla; Suidae. The record is from RNAcentral.
CAAGAAUGAAGAAGGCCUAGCUUGUGAAAUGGUACUAAAUCAGGUACUAAUUCCUUGAUCUCAAAAUUCAAAGAAUCCUUUGCUUUCUUGUCCUGUCUCAGAGUUGGGAAGAUACAGUAAUACAUUUUUUUUUCCCAAAGUGUAACUGGUUAUACUACGUAUUGCUAUCAUGGGGUUGAUGAUCAUAAAGAUGAAUGCCAACAUUAACUGAAAGCUAACUUACAGUGUUCUUGUCAUGGAUCAGUGGUUAAUGAGCCUGACUAGUAUCCAUGAGGAAGCAGGUUUGAUCCCUGGCCGUUCUCGGUGGGUUGAGGAUCUGGCAUUGCUGUGGGCUAUGGUGAAGGUUGCAGACAUGGCUUGGAUCCCAAGUUGCUGUGGCUGUGGUGUAGGCUGGCAGCUAUAGCUCCAAUUCGACCCCUAGCCUGGGAACCUCCAUAUGCUUCAGGGGAGGCCCUCAAAAGACAAAAAAAAAAAAAAAGCUAACAUCAUGUACUGGGCAAUGGGAUAAUUAUUUAGUUUAUUUUUUCACUUAAUUAAAAAUAAUAUUAUAUGAGAUAUGUACUGUUGUUCUUCUCAUUUUAGAUGUGAAGACAUCUAGAUUUAGAUGUAACUUUUUUAGUAUCCCUUAGAUAAAAGGUGGCAAUGCUGGGGCUCUGAUCCAGGCCAUCUCAUCCCAGAGCCUGUAUUCUUAACUUGUAUGCUGCUUUCGUGUUUAAAAUAUGUUUACUGCCAGUUGCCUCUUUUAUGUUUAUUUUCUAGCAUUUAUUAAAUAUCUUGCAUGGAGUUUUUUUCAUUUCUCCCCACAAACCAGCUAUCCCUCAAUUGUUCUUUCUGAUAUUGGUGAAGGGUAUGCCAUAGUUUUUCCAGUCACCCAGACUUCAAUCCUCAGAGUCAUAUAUAAUUUUUCCCUUUCUUUCCUGUGACUUUUCCUUGGUGAUACCUUACCCCUGUUCCAUUCUUUCUGGUUUCUUUCCUCUUAACCCAGUCCCUCUGGUCUAGUCUUGGAUUGUGACAGGUGAUUUUCCUUCCUUCAUUUUCUCAUUUUUGCAGUCCUUCUGAAAGGGUUGCCUUUUACUCUAGUUAAAAAUCUUUCUGUUGUUCCUGAUGCUGGGGUUCCUAAAAGCCAGUUUUCAAAUAGUGUCAUAUUUUUAGGGUCUCACCUGUGGCAUAUGGAAGUUCCAGGCUAGGGGUCGAAUCAAAGCUACAGCCACUGGCCUGCACCACAGCCGCAGCAACAUGGGAGCCAAGCCUUGUCUGUGACUUACACCACAGCUUAUGGCAAUGCUGGAUCCUUAACCCAUGAGCAAGGCCAGGGAUCAAACCUGCAUCUUCAUAGAUCCUAGUCAGGUUUGUUAACUGCUGAGACACAAAGGGAACUCCUUGGCCUAUGCAUUUUUAACAAGCCUCCCGAUUCUGUUGCCCUGAUAGAUUUAGAAAACACUAGGCAACCUUCAACCUCUUAGAAUCCCUCCCCUAAAUACUGUCUUUCUCUGUGAUCUUGCCUCCAUCUAGUGGAUCUGACAUUUCUGUAGCAUUUGAAUCCCAAUCAUUCCCUCCUUGCUGAUGUCUUUCCACAUAACAAACAUACUCUCUAGCUCACUGUGCAGACUCCUUUUCUCCAUUCCCUCAUGUUUUGACCCCUUCCCCUACUACGUACACUCCUUCAGUAUCUUCCAUGUUUAAGGCUUCAGCUGUCUGAAUGUGGCAAGAAUAUCCAAAUCUGUUUAUCUGACCCCAAUCCAUUUUCUAGCUGUUUCUGGCAUUUCACCAUUAACAUUAUUACCUGCUCCAUUGUUCAAGCUGGAAACCUGGGCUAUGGAUAAGAGCUUGGAGUUCGGAGUUAGAAGUCUAGGUUGGAAUUGAAUUCUACCACUCUCUAGCUGAGUAUAUUUCGGGCAGGUCAUUUAACCUCUCUAAACCUUAGAUUCCUUGUUUGUGAAAUGGGGACAACAUUACUUUCUUCAUGGUAUUAUUGUGAAGAUUCAAUAAGAGAAUAUAGAAAAAACAAUAAUUUGAUUACUAUCUAUGGAGCCGUUCCUGUGUACCAAGUACUGUGAUGGUGCUGGGAGGUAGUUGUGAGUAAGGCUGCCCUCAUGGGGCUCUGGCUGGCUACUGAAGUUUUAUUGUUUUGCCUCCUUAGUCUCUCUUUCUCCCUCUUUUUUUCUUUUUUGGCUAUCCCAUGACAUACAGAGUUCCCAGGCCAGGGAUCAGAUCCAGAGAUCCAAGCCAUACUUGCAAUCUAUGCCAAAACUGUAGCAACAUCAGAUCCUUAACUCAUUGUGCCUGGCCAGGAAUCGAACCUGUCUCCCAAUGCUCUAGAGACACUGCCCAUCCUGUUGCUCCAACAGUGGGAACUCCUUUUUUUCUUUUUUUAAUUUUAUGGCUGCAUCCACUGCAUAUGGAAGUUCCUGGGCCAGGGAUUGAAUCUGAGCUUCAGCCAUGACUUCCAUCGCAACGGCAGCAACACUGGAUCCUUAAAGGUGUUCCACUGUGACACUGCAUUUCUGCAGUGACCCGAGCCACUGCAAUUGGAUUCUUAACCCACUAUGCCAUAGUAGGAACCUUCUUCCUUUUUUCCACUUCUUUUAAAAAAAUUAUAGUUGAUUUACAAUGUUGUGCCAAUUUCUGCAGUACAGCAAAGGGACUCACUUAUAUGUAUAUAUACAUUCCCUUUCUUAUAUUCCAUCAUUCUCUAUGACAAAAGACAGGAUAUAGUUCCCUGUGCUAUACAGUAGCACCUCAUUGCUUACCCAUUUAAUAGUUCGAAUUUACUAACUCCAAACUCCCAGUCCAUCCCACUCCCCCCCCCACUUUGCCCUUGGCAACCAUAAGCUUGUCCUCUAUGUCUGUGAAUCUGUUUCUGUUUUGUAGAUAGGUUCAUUUGUGUCAUAUUUUAGAUUCCACAUGUAAGUGAUAUCAUAUGGUUUUUGUCUUUCUCUUUCUGACUUAACUCAGUAUGAGAAUCUCUAGUUGCAUACAUGUUGCUGCAAAUGGCAUUUUUGUUCUUUUUUGUGGCUGAGUAGUAUUCCAUUGUAUAUAUGUACCACACCUUCCAAAUCCAUACAUCUGUUGAUGGCCAUUUAGGUUGUUUCCAUGUCUUGGCUUUUGUGAAUAGUGCUACAGUGAACAUAUGGGUACAUGUAUCUUUUUGUUUUGUAUUUUGUCCAGGUAGAUGCCCAGGAGUGGGAUUGCUGGAUCAUGUGGUAGUUUUGUCUUUUUUUUUUUUUCUCUUUUUGCCAUUUCUUGGGCCACUCCCACGGCAUAUGGAGGUUCGCAGGCUAGGGUUCUAAUCAGAGCUGUAGCCACUGGCCUGUGCCAGAGCCACAGCAACUCGGGGAUCCGAGCCACGUCUGCAACCUACACCACAGCUCACGGCAAUGCUGGAUCCCUAACCCACUGAGCAAGACCAGGGAUUGAACCCGCAACUCAUCGUUCCUAGUCAGAUUCGUUAACCACUGAGCCACGACGGGAACUCCCAUAUGGUAGUUUUAUAUUCAUUUUUCUGAGGAACCUCCAUACUGUUUUCCAUGGUGGCUGUACCAAUUUACAUUCCUAACAGUGUAGGAUGGUUCCCUUUUUUCCAUAACCUCUCCAGCAUUUGUUAUUUGUAGACUUAUUAAUGAUAGCCAUCCUGACUGGUGUGAAGUUGUUCCUCAUUGUAGUUUUGAUUUGCAGUUCUCUAAUAAUUAGUGAUGUUGAGGAUUUUUUCAUGUGCUUGCUGGCCAUCUAUAUGUCUUCUUUGGAGAAAUAUCUAGGUCUUCUGCUCAUUUUUUGAUUGGGUUGUUUGUUCAUUUGUUUGUUGAGUUGUAUGGGUUAUUUGUAUAUUAUGGAGAUUAAGCUCUUAUUGGUUGCAUCGUUUGCAAUUAUUUUCUCCCAUUCUGUAGGUUGUCUUUUUUUUUUAAAUUUUUUAUGGUUUCCUUUGCUGUGCAAAAGCUUAUGUUUCUUUAGAUCCCAUUUGUUUAAUUUUGUUUUUAUUUCUAUUUCCUUCAGAGACUGAGCUAAGAAAACAUCUGAUGGUUUAUUUCAGAAAAUGUUUUGUACUAUGUUCUCUUCUAGCAAUUUUAUGGUGUCAUAUCUUGUGUUUAAGUUUUUAGGCAAUUUAGGGAGUUCCCAUUGUGGGCCAGAGGAAACAAAUCUGACUAGUAUACAUGAGGAUGCAGGUUCGAUCCCUGGCCUCACUCAGUGGGUCAGGGAUCUGGCUUUGCCAUGAGCUGUGGUGUAGGAUGUAGACUUGGCCUGGAUCCUUCACUGCUGUGGCGUAGGCCAUCAGCUGUAGCUCUGAUUUGACCCCUAGCCUGGGAACUUGUAUAUGCCACAGGUGUGGCCCGAAAAAGCAAAAAAAAAAAAGUCUUUAAGCCAUUUUAGAGUUUAUUUUUGUGUAUGGUGUGAGGGUGUGUUCUAGUUUCAUUAAUUUACAUGCAGCUGUCCAGUUUUCCCAGCACCACUUGCUGAAGAGACUCUUUUCCUUAUUUUAUAUGCUUACCUCCUUUGUCAAAAAUCAAUUGACUGUAGGUGUCUGGGUUUAUUUCUGGGCACUCUAUUCUGUUCCAUUGUUCUGUAUGUCUGUUUUUGUACCAGUACCACACUGUCCUAAUUACUGUAGCUUUGUGAUAUUGUCUGAAGUGUGGGAGAGUUAUACCUCCUGCUUUGAUUAUUUCCCCCCCACUGGAUUGCUUUGGCAAUUCUAGGUCUUUUAUGAUUCCAUAUAAAUUUUUGGAUUAUUUGUUCUAAUUCUAUGAAAAAUGUCAUGGAUAAUUUGAUAGGGAUUGCAUAAAAUCUGUAGAUUGCUUUGGGUAGUAUGGCCAUUUUAACAAUAUUAAUUCUUCAAAUCCAGGAGCAUGGGGUAUCUUUCCAUUUCUUGAAUCCUCUUUAGUUUCUUUAAGUUUUAUAGUUCUCAGUGUGUAAGUCUUUCACCUCCUUGGUUAGGUUUAUUCCUAAGUAUUUAAUUUUUUAGUGUGCAAUUUUAAAAGACAUUUUAAAAAUAUUUCUUUUCUAAUAUUUCAUUGUUAGUGUACAGAAAGGCAAUCAAUUUCUGAAUAUUAAUCUUGUAUCCUACUUUGCUAAAUUGGGAACUCCUUUUUUACCGUUUCUUUUUACCUCCUUAGUCUCUAAUGUUUCCUUUUUUAUCCUUUCUCAGUGCCACUACCAUAGUUCAGGGUCUCCUCAUCUUUUGUUGAAACUGUUAAAAAAGCUUCCUACCUAAUCUCCUUGCUUCCACAGAGCUAUGGAGUGUUCUUUUAAAAUUGGGAAUUCAGGAAGUUUCUUUAUAGCACAGUGGAUUAAGGAUCUGGCUUUGCUGCAGCAAUGUGGCACAGUUUUGCUCCCUAGCCUGGGAAUUUCCUCAUGCUGCAGGUGGAGCCAGAAAAAAAAACAAAAAUUUGAGGAAUUCAGAUGAUGCCACUUCCCUGCCUGAAAUCCUUUAGUGGCUACCACUGAGGCAAAUGGACUCUGGGGAGGAUUGCAUGGAGUUAGAUACUGAGUCCACUUCUGAGCUCAGUAGUGAAGGGGUCAAUGGCAUAAUAGUUGUGUCCGCCAGAGGUGCAGACACGAAAGUGGUACCAUGUGCCACAUAUUUGCCAAUCCUUGUGUAGGACAAAGGGAGACACCUUAGCAAGUUCCUCAGGACCCUGCUGUAUCAAGAUCUGGCCUGUCUACUUCUCACCUCUUGCAAUCUCCACAUUUACUCUCCCCAAAGUCUAAUCCUUUGGAACUGUACUUCUGUAUAUGCCAUUCCCUCUCCCUGAAUGACUUCAUCUGUCUCUUCUUAAGGAAAGCUUUGUUUGUCUUUUGACAUUCAGAUCUGUUGCCUCCUCUGGAAAGCCUUCACAAGCCUUCCUAGGCAAAUUUAUUUUCUUCUCUGUCCUCUAGAUCCUUUGCUGUCUGUCUUUCUUUCAAAAUAUAAUUCACAUACUAUAAAUUUUCACCAUUUUUAAGUGUUCUAUUCAGUGCUUUUUAGUAUAUUCACAAGAUUAUGCAACCAUCACCACUGUAUAAUUCCAAAACAUUUUUUUUCUUUCUUUUUUUAUUUUUCUUUUUACAUCUGACCUGCAGCAUAUGGAAAUUCCCACCCUAGGGGUCGAAUUGGAGCUGCAGCUGCUGGCCUACACCACAGCCACAGCAAUGCAGGAUCCAAGCUGAGUCUGUGAGCUACAUACACCACAGCUCAUGGCAACUCAGAUCCUUAACCCACUGAGAGAGGC